AACCAGCACCUCAAGUGGUCAGGAUGAUUAUUGGGCCUAAAGCAUCCGUAGCCGGCUCUGUAAGUUUUCGGUUAAAUCUGUACGCUCAACGUACAGGCUGCCGGGAAUACUGCAGAGCUAGGGAGUGGGAGAGGUAGACGGUACUCGGUAGGAAGGGGUAAAAUCCUUUGAUCUAUUGAUGACCACCUGUGGCGAAGGCGGUCUACCAGAACACGUCCGACGGUGAGGGAUGAAAGCUGGGGGAGCAAACCGGAUUAGAUACCCGGGUAGUCCCAGCUGUAAACUAUGCAAACUCAGUGAUGCAUUGGCUUGUGGCCAAUGCAGUGCUGCAGGGAAGCCGUUAAGUUUGCCGCCUGGGAAGUACGUACGCAAGUAUGAAACUUAAAGGAAUUGGCGGGGGAGCACCACAAGGGGUGAAGCCUGCGGUUC
This 429-nucleotide ribosomal RNA is filed under the name uncultured archaeon. Its description in RNAcentral is "bacterial SSU rRNA". It matches the Rfam family "Archaeal small subunit ribosomal RNA", at positions 474 to 903 of the family's 1478-position model. The record is from RNAcentral.